GGCGAACGGGUGAGUAAUGCAUCGGAACGUGCCCAAUUGUGGGGGAUAACGCAGCGAAAGCUGUGCUAAUACCGCAUACGAUCUACGGAUGAAAGCGGGGGACCUUCGGGCCUCGCGCGAAUGGAGCGGCCGAUGUUAGAUUAGGUAGUUGGUGGGGUAAAGGCUCACCAAGCCGACGAUCUAUAGCUGGUCUGAGAGGACGACCAGCCACACUGGAACUGAGACACGGUCCAGACUCCUACGGGAGGCAGCAGUGGGGAAUUUUGGACAAUGGGCGAAAGCCUGAUCCAGCAAUACCGCGUGCAGGAAGAAGGCCUUCGGGUUGUAAACUGCUUUUGUACGGAACGAAAAGGCUCUUUCUAAUAAAGAGGGCUCAUGACGGUACCGUAAGAAUAAGCACCGGCUAACUACGUGCCAGCAGCCGCGGUAAUACGUAGGGUGCGAGCGUUAAUCGGAAUUACUGGGCGUAAAGCGUGC
RNAcentral lists this ribosomal RNA (477 nucleotides) under uncultured Hydrogenophaga sp. RNAcentral's name for it is "bacterial SSU rRNA". It matches the Rfam family "Bacterial small subunit ribosomal RNA", at positions 97 to 570 of the family's 1533-position model. Lineage: Bacteria; Pseudomonadati; Pseudomonadota; Betaproteobacteria; Burkholderiales; Comamonadaceae. The record is from RNAcentral.